Molecule: ribosomal RNA, 1644 nt
Filed under: Triticum aestivum (bread wheat)
Lineage: Eukaryota; Viridiplantae; Streptophyta; Magnoliopsida; Poales; Poaceae
Description: partial small subunit ribosomal RNA
Source: RNAcentral
AUGGCGGAGAUCCCCCAUGGAUUGCAGCUAGGCGGGGGAGCAACACGCAUGGACCAGAGGAGGGGCAUAGGGCUAGCGGCGGGGCCGUUUGAGAAGAAGAUGAAAUGGAGGACGUGUGGUGGAGAGAAAGAGAUCACAGAGGGGAUUGGGGUUGGGGGAGGAAGACUAACAGAUGACGAGCGGCUUCGGGAAAUAAGAGAAGGGAAGCUGUUUCACGCAGCCACGCGCUCCCAUGAUAGAAUUGGCGGCGCGGCCAUGGCAGCACUCUUGCUCCCGGACGACCUCCUCCUCGAGAUCCUCAUCCGCGUGAAGGAUGCGGCUGCCCUGUUCCGAUGUGCCACGACGUGCAAGCAGUGGUGCCAUCUCAUCGCUGACAAAGUGGUUUUAACUCGUCUUUCAUCAAAGUGGCUGUUUAGCGAUGCCAUUGUGUGCCGUGGCAUGGCACAAUGGGUGUUUUUUCAUACCGGAGAACAUUACUUUCACGUCAUAAGUCUGAAUGCCCGGACCGGCGACAUCUCUACAACGAAGCACCGUUUCAAAACGAAAUACGAGUUCCUCCAGAGUAACCCCUUCCUUACUCUAGCCAUGGAUGAGACACUGUCACUGCUAAGUACUCGAUGGAAAUUUCCCCGAGUGGAUAUCUGGCAACAAGAGAACCAACGAAAUUUUGGGGAGACUUCCGAAUGGUUAUGCACCCGGACCAUCGAGCUAAAACAACCUAAGAAGAUUACUCGGGGAAGAGAGCUGCAUGUCUUGAGGGAGAAGUGCGGCACACUGCUCAUCAGCGACGACAUCAACCGCGUUUACACCGUCGCCCUCGAAACUGGGAUGAUGGAGGAGCCCCCGUCACAUGUUGUCUACUUGCCCUUGCAUGUCUUUGCUCCCGGCACCGAAGCCAGGGUCGCUAGUCUCCUCUGGUUCACAGAUCCCAGCAUCGCCAAUGUGUGGUAUGUUGCAGACGCCGCCUUCUUCUCGCUAGCCGGCCCUCCUCACCUCACGGAUGAAGGGACUGACACGUUUGGUGUAGCCGCCGCCAUUGGAGAUGCCACCUUCUCCAUUCCCUUUGUCGUCUUUCCCGUUGUUGGCUCCGCCAUUAGCCCCACCCCAAGCGGAGGAGAACACCGCCGGUCAGAGUCCAGGGCUGCGCUGUCGCCAGAUUGUCCAUCUUUUUGGAUGACAAUUUUAGUCCAGGCCAGAUUGUUUUGUGCCACACGGGAAAAGAAAAAAAAAGGGAAAUACGCGUCCCCGAGCAGAAAAACAAGGCGAGCAGACAGACGGCCCAUUCCCCUCGAGCUCCCCGCACCCACACACCCUAACCCUAGCCGCCACACGCCGCCGCUCCGCCGUCGCCGUCUCCUCGACCCCGCCGUCGCGCCGCAACCCCUGUCUCCCCCCACCGCUCCCACGAGAUCAACGCCGUCCCGAGCCCGACCUCACCGCCGUCCACUGCCGCGAGGUCACCGUCGCCCUCCCCGCGGCCACCUGACCUACUCCGAGCCGACCGCCGCCCCCUUCCUCGACCCCGCCGUCGCCCUCCCCUUCUCCCAAGGUGAGCUCCGCCAGAUCCCUCCCCCGUCCCUUCAAUUUUCGUCGAUGCAAAGCUGCUCUGCUGCGUGUGAUUUUGAGAUGUUGCCGAGCCAGUGA